This 205-nucleotide microRNA precursor is filed under the name Oryza glumipatula. RNAcentral's name for it is "MIR812 microRNA precursor family". It matches the Rfam family "MIR812 microRNA precursor family". Lineage: Eukaryota; Viridiplantae; Streptophyta; Magnoliopsida; Poales; Poaceae. The record is from Rfam by way of RNAcentral.
AAAAAGACAAACCCUGAGUUUCCGUGUCCAACUUUGACUGUCCGUCUUAUAUGAAAUUUUUUUAUAAUUCGUAUUUUUAUUGUUGUUAGAUGAUAAAACAUAAUUAAUACUUUGUGCGUGACUUGUCUUUUUAAUUUUUUUCAUAAUUUUUUCAAAUAAGACGGACGGUCAAACGUUGGGCACGAAAACCAGGGUUUGUCUUUUU